GUGAGUAGUAUUGAUGUAAAUGGACAAUAGAUGGACAAUAGACACCUGUAAACAAUAGGUGAUUUAACAGGUUUAAACUGUGUAACUGAGUGGACCGUAUCAAAUGAAACUCGGGUGUUUGUUUAUUUUGCUAUCUUCUGCAGACUGGAAAAAAAUGCACAUCAAAAUGCAGGUAAGUUUUUCAUUUUCUGAAACGUAGACUUCAUAUAACUUUUAUAUAUCUAGUUCCUGCCAUGCCUUAAAACUUUCCUAAAUGUACCAGUUUGUCUGUACUCAUAGUAGUUUUUGAGGUGUAAACACGGC
Molecule: long non-coding RNA, 303 nt
Filed under: Mytilus galloprovincialis (Mediterranean mussel)
Lineage: Eukaryota; Metazoa; Mollusca; Bivalvia; Mytilida; Mytilidae
Source: RNAcentral